Molecule: ribosomal RNA, 253 nt
Filed under: uncultured bacterium
Lineage: Bacteria
Description: partial 16S ribosomal RNA
Rfam family: Bacterial small subunit ribosomal RNA
Source: RNAcentral
UACGUAGGUGGCAAGCGUUGUCCGGAUUUACUGGGCGUAAAGGGCGUGCAGGCGGUCUGUUAAGUGCAGGGUGAAAGCUCCCGGCUCAACUGGGAGAGGUCCUUGCAUACUGGCGGACUUGAGGGGGGUAGAGGAAAGUGGAAUUCCCGGUGUAGUGGUGAUAUGCGUAGAUAUCGGGAGGAACACCUGUGGCGAAGGCGGCUUUCUGGGCCCUACCUGACGCCGAGACGCGAAAGCGUGGGGAGCGAACCGG